CCUACGGGAGACAGCAGUAAGGAAUAUUGGACAAUGCUCGCAAGAGUGAUCCAGCCAUGCCGCGUGCAGGAAGAAUGCCCUAUGGGUAGUAAACUGCUUUUGAACUAGAGAAAACCCCAGUACGUGUACUGGGCUGAUAGUAUAGUUAGAAUAAGCAUCGGCUAACUUCGUGCCAGCAGCCGCGGUAAGACGAAGGAUGCAAGCGUUAUCCGGAUUCAUUGGGUUUAAAGGGAGCGUAGGUGGACUGAUAAGUCAGUGGUGAAAUCUCCGAGCUUAACUCGGAAAUUGCCAUUGAUACUGUUGGUCUUGAGUACAGUUGCUGUGGGCGGAAUAUGACAUGUAGUGGUGAAAUACAUAGAGAUGUCAUAGAACACCGAUUGCGAAGGCAGCUCACAAAGCUGUAACUGACACUGAGGCUCGAAAGUGCGGGGAUCAAACAGGAUUAGAUACCCUGGUAGUCCGCACCGUAACGAUGAUUACUCGCUGCUAGGGGGCAACCUUUAGUGGCUUAGCGAAAAGGCGAGAAGUAAUCCGUACCGUGGGUAGGUACGCCGGCGACGGUAGAAACGUUAAAGGUAAGUUAGGACGGCGNGAGGACGNGCGACGGCGACGACGAGGGAGGAGG
RNAcentral lists this ribosomal RNA (625 nucleotides) under uncultured bacterium. RNAcentral describes it as "bacterial SSU rRNA". The stretch from base 1 to 538 matches the Rfam family "Bacterial small subunit ribosomal RNA", at positions 338 to 873 of the family's 1533-position model. The record is from RNAcentral.